AAUCUUCCACAAUGGGCGAAAGCCUGAUGGAGCAACGCCGCGUGAGUGAAGAAGGUUUUCGGAUCGUAAAACUUUGUUGUAAGGGAAGAACAAGUACAGUAGUAACUGGCUGUACCUUGACGGUACCUUAUUAGAAAGCCACGGCGAACUACGUGCCAGCAGCCGCGGUAAUACGUAGGGGGCAAGCGUUGUCCGGAAUUAUUGGGCAGAAGGCGCGCGCAGGGGGUCCUUAAAGUCUGAUGUGAAAGCCCACGGCUCAACCGUGGAGGGUCAUUGGAAACUGGGGGACUUGAGUGCAGAAGAGGAAAGUGGAAUUCCAAGUGUAGCGGUGAAAUGCGUAGAGAUUUGGAGGAACACCAGUGGCGAAGGCGACUUUCUGGUCUGUAACUGACGCUGAGGCGCGAAAGCGUGGGGAGCAAACA
This 422-nucleotide ribosomal RNA is filed under the name uncultured bacterium. Its description in RNAcentral is "partial 16S ribosomal RNA". It matches the Rfam family "Bacterial small subunit ribosomal RNA", at positions 360 to 774 of the family's 1533-position model. The record is from RNAcentral.